This is a non-coding RNA of Lonchura striata (white-rumped munia), 323 nucleotides long. Lineage: Eukaryota; Metazoa; Chordata; Aves; Passeriformes; Estrildidae. The record is from RefSeq and is a predicted model, not a curated record.
GCCUAAAGAUGAGACUGACUGCCGGGACUAAUUAAGCUGACUCGUCGCAAAACGGCCACGAGAUCAAAAAUUCCUUGUAAGGGAGGACUUGGCUGUGAAUUUCCCAGGCUACCACCUGCAUUCCACCCUGUGUACAAACACCAUGUGCCCAGGGCUAUCAGCAGCAGCACUGCACCAAGAGAAGAGAAGAGAAGACACAGCUUGGCUUCAAAAGGUCAUGAGAACUCUGCAGCAAAAAAAGCAUUGGGUGGAAGAAAAAACUUUCUGCUUUAAGCACUCUUGCAAUUAAAUCCUUCUGCAAAAUACAUGUUUUCUUCUAGUAA